RNAcentral lists this long non-coding RNA (1936 nucleotides) under Bemisia tabaci. Its description in RNAcentral is "lncRNA ENSSSA1UGG009174". Lineage: Eukaryota; Metazoa; Arthropoda; Insecta; Hemiptera; Aleyrodidae. The record is from RNAcentral.
UGCUUUUGACAGUGUUAUCAGUGAUUCCAAGCUCAUGUAAUGUUUAAUAAUUGUUGGGUAAAUUAAAAAUGUAUCUAUCUAUCUAUCUAUCUAUCUAUCUAUCUAUCUAUCUAUCUAUCUAUUCAUUUAUUUAUAGGUGCACAAUGGUCACUUGUUGUGUUAAAGGCUGCACCAGUCGCACAUCAACAUCGGGCCCGAAGAUUCCCAAUAUCUCUUUUUAUCGAUUUCCAACAGAUCCUGUUUUGCGGAAAAGGUGGUUAAACAGGAUUAAUCGCAAAGAUUUUUCACCAACCAUUCACUCCAGGGUAUGUUCCCGGCACUUCCAGCUUAAUUCAGCGGUUCCGUCUAUAUUUCCAAAAGGCACACAUAUACCUAAGGGAUUGCUGCUAAUCAAGUUUUUGCACCACGAUCUUCGUACGAGGAUGCAAAAGCAGUUGGCUGUUUGGUCAAAUGUAGCAGAUUUGAACUGUCAAGUUGAGAAUUUUGUAAUUAUUUGUAAGUUAAAUGUUUGUAAAAUAUAGGAGCAGAGGCUUCAUCAUUAUCUGGAUUGCAUUUUGCAAAAAGGAACCAAGGGCAUUUCAAUGUUCCUUGGAUUGUGCAACUUACAUUCUGUGCAAUAAAAUCACUGGAAUCAUACAAAAAAAUCAAAUAUACUAAGGGAAUUUUCAUCUUGAAUCUAUAGUUUAUUGGGAGUAAAGAUAAAAUUGUUUUAUAUGAUUAGUUUAUAUUUACAAGAUAAAAGAAGUUGCUGAAUCUUAGCGAUAUCAGAAUGCUCUUGGUUCCUUUUCGCAAAAUGCAAUCCAUCUAUGCCAUAUUUUUGAGAGUAUCUCAUCCAAGCGAGAAAAUUCUCAUCAAUUGAAUCGUUGAUUAAUUUUAGAGUGACGGGUGGAUCAUGUCAAGAAAUUUGAUCUGAGUUCCUUGGAGCAGAAUCAGUUCUGUCCUUUUUUUUUAGAUAUAUUUAUUUAUCUAAUAAUGUUUUUGCAUAAAUAUUGCAAAUAUUUACAUGGGUUUGGCCGUUAGAGUCCUGCUCAAAAGUAUCAUCACGUAAUAUUUUCUCAUUGUUAGAGGUUACAAAUUUUUUUGUGAUGACCUAAUAUGUACGGAAAUCAUUCUCAAGGUUUAAUACAUGCUAACCGAUCAAACAUUUUCCACGCUCAUUGGAGUAAAUUAAUUUGUACCCUUUUUAUUGUUCUGCGUAGCCGUUAAAAUACAUCGGCUUAUUGUUGACAUCUAACUCUAGUCUCAAACGAAUUUCCUGAGUAUUUUGAUCUCAACUCUCUUCCUAUCCUUUCUAUUUUUAUGAGGAUUCUUUUCUAAGUUAUGUAGGUACUUUAUUUUUAUUGGAAUCUUCCUUUUCCUCAUUAGGAAAGCUCUGAAGUUAUGACUUCCAAAGUCCAACUUGAAGGAAUGUGCUGAGCUAUCGCCUUCUAUCAGACUAAAAAAGACAGUCUCGUUAGGCUUCUCUUUGUAGCCUGUUCACUUGUAUCAUUUCUCAUCUCUCAUCAUGUUUAAAUUAUGUUUUUUUGUGCAAUAAACUUGCUCUUUUUUCACUCUCCUCAAGUUAUUCUCUUCUCAUGCAUUCCUACUGGAACUUGAUAUUUUGAACAUCAAAUUAUGGAGUCAGAGACAUACACAAAAAUAGCCAGAAUAAUUUUAGGAAAAACAAAAUAGUUAAAUGGGUAACCAAAAAAAAUGAAAACUCCAGCCCUAGAGGGUUUUAAUUUUUUUGGUAAUUUUAUAUUUUUGUAGGCCUGGUUGAUAAAGGGGUUGAGACCACCCGGAAACGCCCUCCUAGGCAUUUAUGUAUUAUGUUUGUCUCUAGCCAUGGAUGCCCACUUUAUUUUGUUUUUCAUUCAAUUAUGUGGUAAGUUGAUAGAAAUAAAAAUAAUUACCUAGGUUUAUUUUUAAUCUAACAGAAGUUAUUCAUUCUGCAACA